CGGCCGGGGACGGGUGAAACAGGAUGAUCCCGCCGAGACCGCCGGCCGCGCAGGCGCCUGCCAAGACCGCCUCUGUCAAUMAAGGGCGAAGGCCGGGGGCUAGAAGGCGAUCAGACACCACCGUAUUCCCGGCCGUAAACGGUGCCGCCCCGCGGCCGGCGCGCGCGUCCCGCCGGCCGCCCAGGGAAACCGGGAGGCUCCGGGCUCUGGGGGGAGUAUGGCCGCAAGGCUGAAACUUGAAGGCAUUGACGGAGGGGUACCACCAGACGUGGAGUCUGCGGCUCAAUCUGACUCAACGCGCGCACCUCACCAGGCCCGGACGCGCGGAGGACCGACAGCCGGGCGCGCUUUCGCGAUCGCGCGGGCGGUGGUGCAUGGCCGCUCCCAGCCCGUGGCGCGAGCCGUCUGCUCCAUUGCGACAACGAGCGAGACCCCGGCCGCGGGCGCCGCGGGACGGCCCGCGCGAGCGGGAGGACGGCGGGGCGAUAGCAGGUCUGUGAUGCCCUCAGACGCCCUGGGCCGCACGCGCGCUACACUGGCGGGGCCAGCCGGCGCGCGCGAGGACGCGCGGAGCCCCCGCCGUGGCCGGGACCGCGGGCUGGAACGCCCCCGCGCACCAGGAAUGUCUUGUAGGCGCCCGCCCCCACCGCGCGCCGGACGCGUCCCUGCCCCUUGUACACACCGCCCGUCGCUCCUACCGACUGGGCGCGGCGGCGAGCGCCCCGGACGCGCGAAGGGCCGCGAGCCCCCGCGCCUGGAGGAAGGAGAAGUCGUAACAAGGUAUUCCGUAGGUGAACCUGCGGAUGGAUCCCUC
Molecule: ribosomal RNA, 814 nt
Filed under: Giardia duodenalis
Lineage: Eukaryota; Fornicata; Diplomonadida; Hexamitidae
Description: SSU rRNA
Rfam family: Eukaryotic small subunit ribosomal RNA
Source: RNAcentral